UAGAUGAUGAUUCUAUAAGCACUACCUCAGAAGACAGAUCUUGUACGCCAGUAGCAAAACGGAUAGCAGGGACGGACAAUCACAUUCCCUUGGAAGAAACACAAAAUCACUUUAAAGUUAUAACAGUUAAUGAUACUGGAGCAGGAAAACACUGGAGUGAUAAUGAAGUCAGAGCUCUAAUAAACAUAUGGUCAGAUGAAAAGAUACAACAAAUGCUUGAAGGGGCCACAAGAAAUAAAGAAAUAUUUGAGGAAAUUGCCAGAAGGUUAAUGAAACGUGGUAUAGACAGAGACUGGAAACAAUGUCGCACAAAGUACAAGAACUUAAAAUACGAAUAUCGCGCACUGCAGAAGGAGAAUGAGCAUCUUGGUAAUCCCAGGAGAAAAAUGAGAUUUUAUGAUGAAGUUGACUGUAUCUUAAGACGACAGCCUCUGGGUCCCUCGAGCUGGGGAUGUGAAAGUUCAAGUCUCCUAUCAGUUUCAGUGGGAGAUGUUACAGCAAACACAGGAUCCUUGGGUAUCAAGAGAAAAACAUGGAAUGAUGGUAAGA
Long non-coding RNA from Eurypyga helias (sunbittern), 549 nucleotides. RefSeq lists it as uncharacterized. Lineage: Eukaryota; Metazoa; Chordata; Aves; Eurypygiformes; Eurypygidae. The record is from RefSeq and is a predicted model, not a curated record. The transcript is spliced from 3 exons.